This 72-nucleotide transfer RNA is filed under the name Candidatus Woesearchaeota archaeon. Its description in RNAcentral is "tRNA-Thr". It matches the Rfam family "tRNA". From Rfam's summary of the family: Transfer RNA (tRNA) molecules are approximately 80 nucleotides in length. The record is from RNAcentral. Lineage: Archaea; Nanobdellati; Candidatus Woesearchaeota.
GCCUCUGUAGCUCAAUGGUGGAGCAAUUGCUUCGUAAGCAAUAGGUUGUGGGUUCAAAUCCCUCCAGAGGCU